Molecule: ribosomal RNA, 494 nt
Filed under: uncultured bacterium
Lineage: Bacteria
Description: partial 16S ribosomal RNA
Rfam family: Bacterial small subunit ribosomal RNA
Source: RNAcentral
AUUGAACGCUGGCGGCAUGCUUUACACAUGCAAGUCGAACGGCAGCGGGGAGGAGCUUGCUUCUCUGCCGGCGAGUGGCGAACGGGUGAGUAAUACAUCGGAACGUGUCGAGAAGAGGGGGAUAACCACCCGAAAGGGUGGCUAAUACCGCAUAAAUUCUGAGGAAGAAAGCUGGGGACCUAGGAAUAGGCCUAGCGCUUUUUGAGCGGCCGAUGUCGGAUUAGCUAGUUGGUGAGGUAAAGGCUCACCAAGGCGAAGAUCCGUAGCGGGUCUGAGAGGAUGAUCCGCCACACUGGGACUGAGACACGGCCCAGACUCCUACGGGAGGCAGCAGUGGGGAAUUUUGGACAAUGGGGGCAACCCUGAUCCAGCCAUGCCGCGUGUAUGAAGAAGGCCUUAGGGUUGUAAAGUACUUUUGUUAGGGAAGAAAAGUCAGCUGUGAAUAAUGGCUGAUACUGACGGUACCUAAAGAAUAAGCACCGGCUAACUACGUG